RNAcentral lists this ribosomal RNA (449 nucleotides) under uncultured bacterium. RNAcentral's name for it is "partial 16S ribosomal RNA". It matches the Rfam family "Bacterial small subunit ribosomal RNA", at positions 29 to 523 of the family's 1533-position model. The record is from RNAcentral.
AACGAACGCUGGCGGCAGGCCUAACACAUGCAAGUCGAACGCCCUAGCAAUAGGGAGUGGCAGACGGGUGAGUAACACGUGGGAACGUGCCCUUCGGUUCGGAAUAACUCAGGGAAACUUGAGCUAAUACCGGAUACGUGCGAGAGCAGAAAGAUUUAUCGCCGAAGGAUCGGCCCGCGUCCGAUUAGCUAGUUGGUGAGGUAAUGGCUCACCAAGGCGACGAUCGGUAGCUGGUCUGAGAGGAUGACCAGCCACACUGGGACUGAGACACGGCCCAGACUCCUACGGGAGGCAGCAGUGGAGAAUAUUGGACAAUGGGCGAAAGCCUGAUCCAGCCAUGCCGCGUGAGUGAUGAAGGCCUUAGGGUUGUAAAGCUCUUUCGCCAGGGAAGAUAAUGACGGUACCUGGAAAAGAAGCCUCGGCUAACUCCGUGCCAGCCGCCGCCGUAA